GAUGAACGCUGGCGGCGUGCUUAACACAUGCAAGUCGAACGAAGCACCUUGAUUUGAUUCUUCGGAUGAAGAUCUUGGUGACUGAGUGGCGGACGGGUGAGUAACGCGUGGGUAACCUGCCUCAUGCAGGGGGAUAACAGUUAGAAAUGACUGCUAAUACCGCAUAAGACCACAGCACCGCAUGGUGCAGGGGUAAAAACUCCGGUGGUAUGAGAUGGACCCGCGUCUGAUUAGGUAGUUGGUGGGGUAACGGCCUACCAAGCCGACGAUCAGUAGCCGACCUGAGAGGGUGACCGGCCACAUUGGGACUGAGACACGGCCCAAACUCCUACGGGAGGCAGCAGUGGGGAAUAUUGCACAAUGGGGGAAACCCUGAUGCAGCGACGCCGCGUGAGCGAUGAAGUAUUUCGGUAUGUAAAGCUCUAUCAGCAGGGAAGAAAAUGACGGUACCUGACUAAGAAGCACCGGCUAAAUACGUG
RNAcentral lists this ribosomal RNA (479 nucleotides) under uncultured bacterium. RNAcentral describes it as "partial 16S ribosomal RNA". It matches the Rfam family "Bacterial small subunit ribosomal RNA", at positions 28 to 507 of the family's 1533-position model. The record is from RNAcentral.